This 273-nucleotide ribosomal RNA is filed under the name uncultured bacterium. RNAcentral's name for it is "partial 16S ribosomal RNA". It matches the Rfam family "Bacterial small subunit ribosomal RNA", at positions 556 to 793 of the family's 1533-position model. The record is from RNAcentral.
AAGUACGGUAAUUACGUGGGACGUAAAGCGCAUGCAGGCGGCCUGUUAAGUCAGAUGUACGGAAACCCGGGGAACCGUUUAACCGUACGGUAAUUGCUAUUUAGUAAACGUGGCGAGGCUAGAGUCUUGUAGGAGGGGGGUAGGAAUUUCAGGUGUAGCGGUGAAAUGCGUAGAGAUCUGAAGGAAUACCAGUGGCGAAGGCGGCCCCCUGGACAAAGACUGACGCUCAGAUGCGAAAGCGUGGGGAGCAAACAGGAUUAGAUACCCUGGUAG